CAGUUUUUCCCCCUGGGUUCAUGAAGGGCAGGGACCUUAACAGCUGCUCAAACAGCAGAGACCAAAGAAAAUGCAACAGAGCCAAAAGACCUGAAAGGAACUGACAUGGUGAUGCAGUGGAACUUAACAUAUUCUGAAGAACCCAAGGAGCUGCUGAUAUAUUCAAAGAGUUAUAAGGUGACAUUAUCCCAGCGUACAAACACACUGCGUCCUGUCUGCUUCUGUGGGCAAGAACAAUGAACUCCUUCACUCACCUUCACUCAGAAGCCAGGUGAGCUGGCUGUGGAAAUGAUGAUGAAGCGAUGCAAGGAACUGAAGCCACGGCAAGAAGGAACAUGAAGUCAGAGUACACUAACUUGGAAAAACAGCAGGGAAUAACAAUGUAAUAAUCACUGCUUCCUGGCUUUCCAUAACACUUUCCAUUUUCACUAUUUACCGGAGUGAUGGCUGUUAGUUGCAGAUUGUCUCUGAUUGGUGCUGGAACA
Molecule: long non-coding RNA, 485 nt
Organism: Ictalurus punctatus (channel catfish)
Lineage: Eukaryota; Metazoa; Chordata; Actinopteri; Siluriformes; Ictaluridae
Exons: 3
Source: RefSeq, a predicted model, not a curated record